AUUCCCGUUGAUCCUGCGGGAGGCCGCUGCUAUUGGAAUCCGGUUAAGGCAUGCAUGUCAGGGGACUUCGGUCACCGGCAAAAGGCUGAGUAACACGUCGAUAAUCUUCCCUAUGGUGGGGUAUACCCUUGGUAACCUGAGGUUAAAACCCUAUAAGAAAUGAAUACUGAAAUGUGUUUUUUCUAAAACGCAAGGCCGUAGGACGAGUCGGCGGUGGAUUAGGUAGUUGGUGAGGUAAUGGCUCACCAAGCCAAAGAUCCAUAAGGGCCAUGAAAGUGGGAGCCCUCAGAGGGACACUGAGAUACUGGUCCCAGCCCUACGGGGUGCAGCAGCUACGAAAACUUUACAAUGCACGAAAGUGUGAUAAGGGGAUUCCGAGUGCUUAUGCAUUGCAUAGGCUUUUGCCAAAGGUAAACACUUUGGCGAAUAAGUGGUGGGUAAGACUGGUGCCAGCAG
This 456-nucleotide ribosomal RNA is filed under the name Candidatus Woesearchaeota archaeon. RNAcentral's name for it is "bacterial SSU rRNA". It matches the Rfam family "Archaeal small subunit ribosomal RNA", at positions 1 to 464 of the family's 1478-position model. Lineage: Archaea; Nanobdellati; Candidatus Woesearchaeota. The record is from RNAcentral.